UCGCCUGCACGAAGCCGGAGUUGCUAGUAAUCGCGGAUCAGAAUGCCGCGGUGAAUGCGUUCCCGGGUCUUGUACACACCGCCCGUCACACCAUGGAAGUUGGGGGUGCCCAAAGCCGGCAGGGAAAUAUGCUGUCUAAGGCAAAACCAAUGACUGGGGUGAAGUCGUAACAAGGUACC
This 179-nucleotide ribosomal RNA is filed under the name uncultured bacterium. Its description in RNAcentral is "partial 16S ribosomal RNA". It matches the Rfam family "Bacterial small subunit ribosomal RNA", at positions 1312 to 1500 of the family's 1533-position model. The record is from RNAcentral.